RNAcentral lists this transfer RNA (66 nucleotides) under Microhyla zeylanica. RNAcentral describes it as "partial tRNA-Val". It matches the Rfam family "tRNA". Rfam says of the family: Transfer RNA (tRNA) molecules are approximately 80 nucleotides in length. The record is from RNAcentral. Lineage: Eukaryota; Metazoa; Chordata; Amphibia; Anura; Microhylidae.
AUGUAGUUUAAUUAAAGCAUUUCGCUUACACCGAAAACAUGUCUGUUUAAAUCAGAUCAUUUUGAG